GUACAGACUGAAUUAAGAGAUUUGCCAUCUGUCUGAUGUAUCU
Molecule: small nucleolar RNA, 43 nt
Organism: Marmota marmota marmota (Alpine marmot)
Lineage: Eukaryota; Metazoa; Chordata; Mammalia; Rodentia; Sciuridae
Source: Ensembl